This 238-nucleotide ribosomal RNA is filed under the name uncultured bacterium. RNAcentral's name for it is "partial 16S ribosomal RNA". It matches the Rfam family "Bacterial small subunit ribosomal RNA", at positions 1264 to 1500 of the family's 1533-position model. The record is from RNAcentral.
GGAGCAAAUCCCUAAAAGACCAUCCCAGUUCGGAUUGCAGGCUGCAACCCGCCUGUAUGAAGUUGGAAUCGCUAGUAAUCGCGGAUCAGCAUGCCGCGGUGAAUACGUUCCCGGGCCUUGUACACACCGCCCGUCACACCAUAAGAGUCGGGAACACCCGAAGUCCGUAGCCUAACCGCAAGGGGGGCGGCGGCCGAAGGUGGGUUCGAUAAUUGGGGUGAAGUCGUAACAAGGUACC